RNAcentral lists this long non-coding RNA (568 nucleotides) under Homo sapiens (human). RNAcentral's name for it is "HSALNT0240714". Lineage: Eukaryota; Metazoa; Chordata; Mammalia; Primates; Hominidae. The record is from RNAcentral.
AAGAUGGCGGCUGCCGCGGAGUGCGAUGUGGUAAUGGCGGCGACCGAGCCGGAGCUGCUCGACGACCAAGAGGCGAAGAGUCCCACGCCUUUGACAUCUCAUCCUUCAGUCCCUUUGCUGUAAAGGCAACUUGAACAAGCUUCAGCCCUUUCUCAGACUUCCAGGGCAGGACUUGAAUGGAUUUGACACUGGAAUUGUUCCUGAUGCAGCCUUGUUCAGUUCUUGCUGCUGCCAUGCUGGAUUCCAAAGAUCCACUCUUUCCUCGACUGGUCUCGCAGGGGAAGCAGAGACUUUCAAGGAACAAGGAAAUGCAUACUAUGCCAAGAAAGAUUACAAUGAAGCUUAUAAUUAUUAUACAAAAGCCAUAGAUAUGUGUCCUAAAAAUGCUAGCUAUUAUGGUAAUCGAGCAGCCACCUUGAUGAUGCUUGGAAGGUUCCGGGAAGCUCUUGGAGAUGCACAACAGUCAGUGAGGUUGGAUGACAGUUUUGUCCGGUUCAAGAAUGCUAAUGCAGUCAUGGAAUAUGAGAAAAUAGCAGAAACAGAUUUUGAGAAGCGAGAUUUUCGGAAG